Molecule: long non-coding RNA, 2086 nt
Organism: Mastomys coucha (southern multimammate mouse)
Lineage: Eukaryota; Metazoa; Chordata; Mammalia; Rodentia; Muridae
Exons: 3
Source: RefSeq, a predicted model, not a curated record
UCAGUAUGACAACAACCCCAGCUUCAGCCCCUGACAUCAACUCUGUGACCCAGGGAUAAGCUAGCCCUCCGCAGCCAAGAUGAGCACCAGCUCCUGGCUUUCCUGAGAUCCACACCCUAGGCCUAUAUACCAUUUUAUAAGCAUAGAGGACACCGUGAAAAUACUCGGACUCUUUGUUACUGGGAUUUGAUGGUCUGGAGUGAACGUGGCCGGAGAUGAGGAUGCUCGCAGGGACAAGCUCAUUCAUCCAUCCACCAGGCUCCUGGUGCUGCCAAGGUGUUGACAUUACAUCAAGACCCCAAUGAUCACUGGGGAUAAUAUCAGCUUGCUGCUCUGGGACAGAGAUCUCCUGUCAGUCUGGGACUUCCAACUUGCCUAUACCAGACACUGGCUCAUCCGCCACAAGUACCUCCAGUGCUCAGUGACAGUCACCGCCAGGGGAACAGACGUGAACAGUCACCAUGAACCUGAACGAGUGUGGAUCUACAAUCGCGUCCAGAGGCUUAGUCCUCAGCUUCUUGAUGCUGGGAGAUAGUAGGACCUGGAGGGCUAGUGGGACAUCUCAAGCCCAGUGGCUGUGCCCUUGAAGGAGCUUAUGGAGCUCAGUCCCUUCCUUUACUUCUUGCUCAGGGCCACAAGGUGGGCGCACACCCACUACCUCACACUGUCCUCCCCACAGGACAUAUGCAAUGGCCCCGAGUGUCUACAAGCUGAACCUCCAUACCUGGAAGCCACCAUGCAUUCCUCCCUCCACUUGUCACUAUGACAGAAACUAUUUACAGAGGAAAGAUUUAUUUCAGCUCAGGGUUUAGAGGUACCAUUUCUCGUGGCAGAGAAGGUAGGGUGCAUCAGAGCUUCUCACCUUAUGCCCAGGAAAUAGAAGUAUAAUAGGAAGGGGCCCUGGGUAAGUGUAGCCCUUAAGGAGCAUACCUCCUACAUCACUGCCUUCAUCCAUGGCUCACAUCCCAUCAUCCCACCACCCAACAGCUGAUUCAACUUACGACUCCAUCAAUAGGUUGGAUCACUGAUGAGGUCAGAGCCUAGACUGACCCAAAAGUGCACUUCACUAAUCCAGAGUGCAUGCACUUCACUAAUCUAGAAGCCUUUUCUCUUCCUACAUGUCUUUGCUGUUUCAUUUCCCCUCUCUGUGAUAAAAUUAGAGCAGAAGGGGCUUUCCCUGGGCUUGCAGUUCAGGGCUAUGAUCCAUCGCUUUGAAGGACAGGCUCAGGAACUUGACACAGCUUGCCAUCAUACAGGUGCAGUGAAGGAGUAGUAGAGUCAUAUGUGCAUCCUCUUGCUCAGUUCACAAUCUCUUUUUCAUCCAGUUCAGGGUCUAGCCCAUGAAAGGGUGCUGCCAAUACACAAUGUUGGUCUUAUACCUCCAUUAAACCAACUAAGAAAAAAAAAAUGGAUGUGCCCAUAGGCAAUCUCAUCUAGACAGUGAUUCAUUCUGACUCCCCGAUGGUUCUAGAUGGCCUCAGACUGAAGAUAAACACUAACCACCACAGUAGCUAUGCCCACGGACGUUGGCUAUAAUGAUGAAGCUGAGUAGUACACAGCCAUUGCCAUGAGCCUGCUGGCCACAUGGAGCAGCACAGACAGUGGCCCAUUCUAGGCUGCCCACUCCUCAUUGACUCUACACAGGAGACCAACAGACAGAGGUGGGCUAGAAAAGAAGGCAGAUGUUGGACUAGGAUGGACCUAUAUGUUUGAGUCAGCACAGUGAUAUAACAGCUCUGAGGCUUUGAACCCAUGACUCAUGUGAUGACCAGCUCAGAAGGAAGUGAGACUGGAGGGCACAGGUAAUACUGGCCAUGCAUAGGGGCAGGAGAAGGAUGCCAACGCAGCUAGCUGGGACAGCCCUCUUAGCUGCUCCUUCCUGAAUCUCUGCUCCAUGCCCGACUCUUCCAUCACUAUGCACAGGCAUCCGCAUGCUGCUCCAUAUGGGGGAGGUGAAGAUCCAACCCCCUGCACAUCCCCUGGUCCCUCACACUGUGUAGAUUUCACUUUUUCAUUUAUGUAUUUAAGCUUUCAAUAGCUAAAAAUGCCCCAUCGAGGUUUAGUAAAUCAGUAUUGAGUACAGUCA